RNAcentral lists this long non-coding RNA (501 nucleotides) under Brassica napus (rape). RNAcentral describes it as "long non-coding RNA (BNAP_LNC006008)". Lineage: Eukaryota; Viridiplantae; Streptophyta; Magnoliopsida; Brassicales; Brassicaceae. The record is from RNAcentral.
AGGUUAGCAGUGGGAUAAUACAAAUCGUGUGAUCGUAAGAGGUAGAAUAAGUCGCACCUUUUUUUCGCCGCAAAUACUUAGUCUUAGCUCCACUCUGCUCUCUUUUUACCAAUCAGGCAACCACACACCUUUUAUCCAAUAUCCAUAUCCCUCCGAGUCUUCUACACAAACAUCUUAAGGCUUAUUUCACAGAGAAACAAGUAUCAAAGAAGAGCAAAGAGUAUAUCAACAACAAUGUAUAUUUUACCGUCUGAAUCAAAACGCCUCUUUUUAGUCCCUAUCUUGGCCGUGAUGGCCAUACAAUUUCUCUUUGUACGCACUGUUUCGUCAGUGAACAUGACAAAUACAUAUCUACACCACAAAUGCUUUGUCGAUCAAGGGAAAUACGAGCCGGGAAGUAAGUAUGAGGAAAACCUAAACUUUAUCAUCGAACCAAUCCCUGUAACGAGUGAGAGUUUUGAAAGAGGUACCAAAAUGGAAAUGAUCGGAGAAGGUCCUGAU